Populus trichocarpa (black cottonwood) is the source of this 72-nucleotide non-coding RNA. Lineage: Eukaryota; Viridiplantae; Streptophyta; Magnoliopsida; Malpighiales; Salicaceae. The record is from Rfam.
UCCUCAGUAGCUCAGCGGUAGAGCGGUCGGCUGUUAACUGACUGGUCGUAGGUUCGCAUCCUACUUGGAGAG